RNAcentral lists this unclassified non-coding RNA (258 nucleotides) under Hevea brasiliensis (rubber tree). The record is from RNAcentral. Lineage: Eukaryota; Viridiplantae; Streptophyta; Magnoliopsida; Malpighiales; Euphorbiaceae.
AUUAGCUUUUUAAUUAAUUCAAUGAAUAUAUAAAUUAUUAAAACAUGCAAGGAAUCCACUUGAACAAGUGCAUACAAUUUUGCAAAGAAGAGUGCAUAGACAGACGAGGGGAAACAGAAAUCAGAAUUCCAAGCAUAAUCUAACAUUAUGUUGCAUAUAGAAAUGAAACAAAGUGCUAAAAAAGGACCCAAAGAUUGUCGACGAAAUAACUAAUGACACUGAAAAGAAGGGCACCUUUGUGAAAACUCGAAGCAAUAA